GACGAACGCUGGCGGCGUGCUUAACACAUGCAAGUCGAACGGAAAGGCCCUGCUUUUGUGGGGUGCUCGAGUGGCGAACGGGUGAGUAACACGUGAGUAACCUGCCCUUGACUUUGGGAUAACUUCAGGAAACUGGGGCUAAUACCGGAUAGGAGCUCCUGCUGCAUGGUGGGGGUUGGAAAGUUUCGGCGGUUGGGGAUGGACUCGCGGCUUAUCAGCUUGUUGGUGGGGUAGUGGCUUACCAAGGCUUUGACGGGUAGCCGGCCUGGGAGGGUGACCGGCCACAUUGGGACUGAGAUACGGCGCAGACGCCUACGGGAGGCAGCAGUGGGGAAUAUUGCACAAUGGGCGGAAGCCUGAUGCAGCAACGCCGCGUGCGGGAUGACGGCCUUCGGGUUGUAAACCGCUUUCGCCUGUGACGAAGCGUGAGUGACGGUAAUGGGUAAAGAAGCACCGGCUAACUACGUG
Molecule: ribosomal RNA, 468 nt
Filed under: uncultured bacterium
Lineage: Bacteria
Description: partial 16S ribosomal RNA
Rfam family: Bacterial small subunit ribosomal RNA
Source: RNAcentral